Molecule: long non-coding RNA, 850 nt
Organism: Pseudophryne corroboree (corroboree frog)
Lineage: Eukaryota; Metazoa; Chordata; Amphibia; Anura; Myobatrachidae
Exons: 4
Source: RefSeq, a predicted model, not a curated record
AGGCUGCUGCCUGAGGAUCAAUAGUUGGGGAGGGGGUAAGGGACAUUCUGCUACCCAUACUGUGCAUAUUGGGAGGCUGCCGCCGGCAUCUUUCAACUUCUUGUCACCGGCCAGCUCCAUCUUCUGCAGGAGCUCCAGCCAGCUCCGAUCCUCCUGUCCGUGCGAGACCAGAGCUGAAGAAUUGCCUGAAGAACCUGCUGUCCUGGGGGAAUCCCAUUCACAACCAGCGAGAUCCAGUGUCUGCCAACAUCAGGAGCGGCAUGUGAAGGUGCAAAACAUGGAGAUGCAGAUGAAUGCCUAAGCAGAGACCAGGCGCCAGGAAAGAAGACACUAGUAAACAAGGAUUGCAGACUAUUCCAACUGCUUUACUGAGGUAUUACUAGGUAAACAAUAUUGCAGACUAUUCCAACUGCUUUUACUGAAGUAUUACUAGGUAAACAAUAUUGCAGACUAUUCCAACUGAAGUAUUACUAGGUAAAUAAUAUUGCAGACUAUUCCAACUUAUAUUGCAUUGUUAAAACUUUAGAAAGCUGUUGUAAGUGGAUUUAUAACUGUACUAUCCAAAUAACUUAUAGUGAUAGACAGGGGCAUCUCUAGAGAGGAGGGGACACAGUGUUAUACCUGUGUUAAACCGAAGGAAAACGGAAGGCAAACACACCAACUAUAAAACGAAAGUACUGCAUUACAACCACAAAACUCAGGAUCAUUAUAUGGCCUUUCUUCACCUAUACCAUGUGAUCUCCAGGAGCAGGCUUACCACCUCUCCGGCUGAAAACAUAAAGUCUGCCCCUGGUCCUAGCCCUCAAGAUGAGCAGGGAACUGUGUGGGGAGAACACUUGGAUCAGGCUCA